GUCUGCUGGACUCCCCUGGUGUUUAUCCCGCUGGUGGUUGCCGUGGUGACCGUGGUGACCGUGCUCUGUGUCUGGGGGCUCUGCUACAGGAGAGCCACCUGCAGAAACUGUGCGAGACACGAUGACAGCAUGAAGACAGGGAAUUUGCACUAUGCCAGUCUUCACCUUCCCAAAAAACCCCGUCACUCAAAGCAAAGAGUGACCCCGCCCCUUCCUAGUGACAUCAUCUAUGCUUCAGUAGCUCUCCAGCCUCCAACCAAUCAGAACCCCUGAGGCGUCCAGAUGAUGUCAGGCUGAUUCUACUACUGUCCUUCUGUUCCUACUCAAUCUGUAUUUUUACUGAACUUGUGUGUGUUUGUAUGUGUGCUUGUGUGUGGGUGUGUAUGUGUGCAUGUGCAUGUGUGGUGUGGGUGUGCAGGUAUAUUUUACACUUUCCUAUGCAAUACACUUAUGAUUUAAUUACAUGGCUAGAUUUCUAUAUUGAGCCAUUUUCUUCUGUGAAACCGGUUAUAAGCUCGAUGUUAUCCAGUACAUGGACUGCAAUAGCU
Long non-coding RNA from Conger conger (European conger), 548 nucleotides. RefSeq lists it as uncharacterized. The transcript has 3 exons. The record is from RefSeq and is a predicted model, not a curated record. NCBI's taxonomy places the organism in Eukaryota, Metazoa, Chordata, Actinopteri, Anguilliformes, Congridae.